UGAAUCCAAGUCAUUAAAAAAAAAUAAUAAUAAACAAAUAACAAAAAUGAAACCUUUCGUACAAAAUAAUGUGAUAGAGUAAAAUAUAUAAAUUUGUAUAUGAGUGAAAAUAAUAUCAAAAUAAAAAUAUAAAAUUGUCUUAUUAAUCCCAUUUUUUUAGUAUAAGAUUAGAAAAAGAAAAAAAAAUGGUAUCAUAAUGAAUAAUAAAUUUUAAUUACAAUUGAAUAUUUUUAAUGUAAUCUUAUGAAGACAAUUUUAGAUUGUUUUAUAAGAUUGAAGGGAAGUUUAGAAUAUCAUUCAAACGGUAUUUUUAUCAUAUAUUAUUGUAUACUAAAAUUAUAUUUAAGAAUGAAAAUAAAUUAUAUUAUUAGAAUAUCUUUUUGGUAUUUAUGGAAUAUGAUUCAAAUCGAUGAAAAUAUAUAUACUAAAAUCUAGUUGUUAAAUAAUAAUAUAAGUAUAUGAGAUCACAUUAAUAAAUGAGAUCAAUUAACGUACAAAUAAAUAAAAUCGAGUAUGGACAAAUACAACAAGGUAAAACAACAGGAUUAUUAAAUGUGGGUAUAAAGCAUGACAUAUGUGACAUUUACAUAUUGGUUAUAGAAAUGUUAAUUCAAAAUUUUAAAUAAAAAUUAAAAUAUUUUGAACUAAUCUAUCAAAAUAUCUCAAAUUCUUUUAGAAUUAAAAGAAAAUUAAAUAAAUAAAAGGGGCUUACAAAAUCUUAUCCAACAAUUCUCUGAAUCCAUGGUUUAAGGAAUCGCCCAUUAUGAAAUUUUUCAGCACACUUGGCAUACUGUACACAGCAGGGACCACGAAAACGGCGUCGUUUUCGAGGAGUGGAAGUUGGAAACAAGCAAAUCCAAUCCUGAGAAGCGAAGUGGACUUCCCGGCCGAAUCAGUCCCCACACCCAGCACUCGGUCGUUGAGGCCAGAAAAUUUAUGAGAACUCUCGCGAAAUUUUAGGAAAUUUCUCGGCAGCCAUUCAAAAUAUUGGUGGCCUCAGUCAUGACAGGCAUUAGAUUUUUUGUUACUCUUUCUUCUAUUCUCGAUCACGAAGAUUUCAUUGUUGCUCCUAACCCCUAACCAGGUGAGUCCCUUUUCUUCUCUUUGGAAAAAAAGACCUGUUUGGUCGCCGAUAAAAUAGGAGAAAUAAAAGAGCAAAUCACGAUUUGGGUCUUGAUUUUUACGCUGUUUUAGUAUGUAAAACACAAUGUCUGAGUGGUCAUCAAUUUCCUUGCUUUUUGCUCCUUUUUUGUUCUCGGUAACCAAACAGAUCAUGACUGUGCCAGCAAUAACCUUUGUUCUUAGGCUUUGAAAUCAUUAAAUAAUAUCUGGGUUCUCCUUGUUUGGCUUGGUUUUGAAGGUAAUUGUAUAAUGUUUCAACCAUGUUGACGGUACAUGCUCUGAGAGUGAUUUCAAUUGUGGAAAGCAAUGCACUGAAUGAGGCCUCUCCGUCCAUGAUUACAUAUAUUAAGCCCUUAUUUAAUACUGUAAUUUCUCCCAUCAAUUUUUCGGGUUCUUGUAGCAAAAGAUUGUGUUAUUCCUCUCUUUCUUGGAGAGACCAUAAUCGCCUUAACACCCAUCACCUAUCUCACCAAGUAUGUUCAAAGAAAUGGCUGGUAAGAACUAAGAAGCCCUAUUUGUAUUUUUUUCUUUCUCCUGGUAUUUUCAGUUAACUUUGGAUUUCUAAUUGGUGUCCAAACUUCAAUGUGUUCUCUUGCUGUAACUGUUAUAGUGCCGGAUGCAUGAUUCAAUUUCAUCUGAGGAUGAGUAUCGAUCAUCACGCAAUAUAGCAAUCAGCUUGUUUAGGCGAUACAGGAAUGUUGUUGACAGAGGAGGAGGUGACAACCUAAAAGUAUAUUUGAUCUGUUACUGCAUAGAAUUUUUUGUUUCUUGAAUCUUUUAGGCAUUCUCUGUUAACUCAUUUGGUUGCUGAUGCUCAGGAGUUCAUCAGUGCUGGGGUGAAUGCGUAUGCAUUGGGGUGCACUGAUGAAGGAUUAAGGAAAGAACUAACAGAGAUGAAGGAAUCUGGUUUUGAAAUUGAAACAAUGCAGAGUUAUGGUGGCAGCACUAGUUUGAAGUCCAAGAUUUUCUCCGAAGAGGUUAGUCACUCUUACGUAGCUGAACAAUUCGAUAAAUUCAAGUUUCAUACAUGGUGACUUGGUAAUAUUGGUUAGGUUUAUCAGAUUGUGAAGUAUCCUUCAAAAACAGUGGGAGCAAUUUUUUUUUUUUUUUCUAUUGGAAAAAACAGUAGGAGCCAAGGGGUGAGGAACAUUUCUAUAUAGACGAAUAAAUCUAUAUACAAACAUUUUUAGUAUAUACCAAAAAGACAAGGGCCCCUUGAAACAGAGUUUUUGACUGAUGUUCAAAUUCCUCUUGUUUCUGGAUUUCUUUUGUGAUUGUACACAAUCAAUGCUUCUGAUCUUCAAAGUUUCAGUCAUUUUGGUAUUGCUUAAUCGGAAGGGUUAUAUAUUACAAUUUGGCAAUGGAAACUGUACUCUUUCUGAUAUUAGGCAUUACCUACAUGAUUAUCGAUGGCCAUGAAAUUUUGCUGAAUGGAUUAGAAUUUGUAAUCCAAUUUUCUCAAUUUCACAAUGCAGAUUGAUGAGUGUAUUCUUUGGUUGAGCAUUAUAUUCAUCACCAUCUUGUGUACACCACAACCAACUAUAGUUAGAUGGUCAUCUACACCUUCUGUGUCAGAUGAAAUAAGGCUGCAGUGGAAAGGCUUUUGUGCUCUCAUAGCAAAUGCAUAUUAUGUGAAAGGAAUGGCAUGGUGAGUUUCUGUCAAAACUCUCAAAUCGAGCAGUGUGCACAACUAUAACAUCUCUGUGGAUGCAAAUUUUAUUCAUGUUUACUCAUUGAACCAAGUAUGAGUUGAGUACUUGUGAAUUAGACAUCAUUAUAACUUUAAGGACUUGCAUCAUUGUUCGCACUUGGGGUCAAAGAAUUUGAAACUUGUUUUUGUUUCUAAGGUUGUGAUUCCUGUUAUAUGAAAGAUCACUUGACUCAUCUUUGAAGCACACAAUUAUUACCCCAUGCCUGGAAAAACUCCGUUUAGUUUCACUUGACCCCUCCAAUGCAGCUCUUAGCAGAAUUGAAGGAAGUUGAAAUUUCCAAGCUGUAAAAAAUUGCUUAUGGAGACUCACCCAUCUGCUUUCUACUUUCAUGUGCUUACCACAGGCUUCCAGUAAAGACUCUUCAACUGGAGCAGAUGGCAGUGGUGGGAAAUGCCGAGGAACCAUCUGUUGUUGCUAGUAGAAUGCGAUUAGUGUUUAGCACACUUGAGGUUAGUUGAGCUUUCUUACAUUUUUAAUGAUUCAUGGCACAGAUAGCAUAUGAUCAAGAUGAACUUGAGCUACAGAGGAACAAUGAGAACAUAGGGCCCGUCUGCCAUUUUUCUAUUUCUGAUUGAUCAAUUUUUUGUUUUAUAUAUUACAAAGUAAGCUUUGUAGAGGAAUACGAACCCAAUGUCCAUGUGCGCAGUGCGCCCCCCAAGGAGUGGGUUGUAGUUAGAGAGAGCAUAUUUGAGUUUGUAGGGCUUGAAGAUAUGGGAACACAGGUUUCUUUUUGAACUUAGGUUUAAGAUACAUCUGAUUAAUUUGUUUCCAUGUGCAGGUAGUGAGUCCACAGUGGCCAAGAGUCUAAUCCUGUGAUUCAAUAUGAAGGAUUUUCCUUGGAUCUCGGGUUUGGCGAACCAAUGAUUGUAAAUUAGUGUAGCAUAAGAUCAAGCAACGCUGAAAUUUUUUGUGAAAAUCCCUUCAUAAUACAUGUGGAUGUUUGUUAAUAUUUGGAUGAUAAGUUUCUUCCCAUUUGCAAUAAUCAGGGCUCAAUCCCAGUUUUAACACGGAUGAUGCAAAUAUCAUAUAUUCACCGCCUGUUGAGGUGCAAGUUAUCUUUGCAGAUGCCCUUCUCAUUUGUUCGUGUUUUUACUUUUUAGUGUUAAAUUCCCAGUUUUAUGUUGCUCCUCCAUUUUCUUCCUUCUGUUUUUCCUCUUCUUUUGCUCCCCAAAAGCUACCAAGUUAGCAACAGAAAAUAUAAUAACUCAGAGAAAAGGAUGGUAUGGUAAGGAAUGAACUAAUAUUACUCAUAUUCAUCUGCUUUGUUUCUCUAAUACAUUUGGAUAAGUAAAGAAAUUAGACAAGCCAAAAUUGCAAGUGAGUCGUAUAUAAGGAACUCCUUCACAGCUGAGCGGGACCAAUGAGAGCAGCAGCAUCUUUCAGCUUCUUCCGUGCCCGCCAAUGGACAGCAGCUGCUGUUUCUGAUGUACCCAUCUGUAGAUUGUUGAGAAAUUUCAGCCAAAUAUGAUGUUGAAGAUGAGUUCAACAUCCAACAUAUCAUGGAAAGCAUAAAUAAUGAGCGUUAGAACAAACGCAAAUUUGUAACUAAUGGGGACAAUGAAACCAAGGCCUUUUGGCAAAGUUUUUUAAAACAGUUCUCAAAAAAGAAUUUAAAAUGAUUUUUUUGUAAGAUUAGUUUUCAAUUGUUUUAAAAAAUAAACUUAUAUUUGAGACUCAAAUUUUGUAUUUAACCAGUUGGGGCUGUUGUCCUUAGGACAAGUUCACUGCGUUUUAGAUUUGUUUCAUUAUAAAGGUUCAAAAGGCAUAAUCCAUUUUGACGAAUUUUAUUUUUCUGGAGGUAAAGCAGAUAAAAGUUUUACCUUAAUCUCCAUAGAAUAAUAAUCUUGCCACAGGUUGAUAUCUUGGUCAUAAGUCGUAAGCGCCGAUUCAAAUAACUUCCUGGCAUUUACGAGGCAAUCUUUAUCAUUGAUUGCUGCAAGGUUCAAUUCCAACUCAAUGCAAAUUUUAUACAUUGGAAGACCUGGCCGAGGUAAAGCAAGAAACCUGCACUUGAAACAGGAUAGAAUAUAAGCAACUUCCAAAUAGGACUAAGUACAGCUAUUAAGAGUAACGAUGCUUUCACUAGUUUAGCAUAUCAGUGCACUAUUUCUUUCUGAAAAAACCAAUGGCUUAUGAUCUAUUAUCAAUAAAAACAGUGCAAUUAGUCUAUCAAAAAUAAAAUAAAAACAGUGCAAUUAUGGCUUUGAUGAAAUCCUUUAAACAUACCGCUUAUACAUCUCUCUUGCAGACUGAAUUCCAUCCUUCUGAAGAACGAAGUUUACAAUAGCAGAAGAGAGGCAGAAUCCAUUUUCACUGCCACCAUCUUUAGCCAAUGAAACCAGGGAUAUAUCCACAAGCUUGUCAAAAAAAUGCUUGUGAUUUGAGAAGAAUUUGAGGGCCUGCAAUAACAAAUUUCUAUUGUUUAGAUGGUCUUUAGUACAAAGGUGACUGACUAAUAUUGGGGAGGGAGGGGUAGGGAUUAAAUUGGGGUGUUGGAGCUUGAUACUCGGAAUAGUUUACCAAAUAUAUGUAUAUAUGUAUGUACAUUCAUGUGUGUAAUGUGCAUGUCUUGUAUCGACAUCAAAAUUAUAUCACUAAUUGGAAGAAAGAUAAGCUUAGCCCAACCAUGCAAACACAGUAUCCAAAGGGAGGAUUAAAUGCCUAUUAAAAUUCAUCAUUGGGGAAAUAGAAUCUUGAAAUGAUCAAAGAAUUCUGACCACAAUUUUCAUUCGAGGACAUAAUGAAUCAAAAUACUCUGAAGCACUAUGCAACAGCUCAAAGGAAUGGAAAAAGGCCUGCAUACUUCAAGACAAAUAGUCUCAGACAUAGGUCCGGAGAAUCAACGUUUAGCCAGGAAAGACUUUGACAUUCAGUCGUUGAUCUUAAUUAUCAUAGAGCAAAUGGAGAUAUCUUCUUGGUCAGGAUCUCUUUUCCUCUCAUUUGCCCAAGUGGGAGAUAUCCAAACCCCAUAAUUCCAAGCAGUUUGUGUCAGGCUUUAUUACACUUCUGAUGAAAAAUAGGUUGUAUUUUAUUGUGGGACAUAUAAAAUGAAAAUAUGCUUAAUAGUCCUUAUCAUGCAUGCAUUUAAUAUGUAAUACUUUGCAUAAAGAAUGAAGUUCUAUCUCUAUUAGCAUUCAACAAAGUUUCAUAUUGAAUUUCCAGGUUUUCCUACUAACUUUAGUCAUUCUUUUUCCAAAUUGUUGUCAAUAUUGAGAAGUUUGAUGUUUCCAUGUGUCUAGAACUCUGAUGUCCAUUUUGUUAUCAAGAUUUAAGACCUUAUGCUUCAAAAUCACUUUGCUUAUGACUGUAUUCCAUCAAUGUGGCAGUAUAUGUUCAGCAAACUCAUGUCAAAUAUAAACAGUACAUGUAGUUCAGAAUCUCCACCAAUCUCUUAAAGAUAAUUAAUUGAUGACCUUGAAGAAUAAAAUUUUACGCUUUUCAAGAUUGGUAAAGAGUAUGUGGUUUUGUGAAAUCUACAUUGCAUAAUUCAGAUUGACAGCAGUACUGCCAGACCCCAACAUAAUUUAACAAAGCUCACAGCAAACAGAAAACAGCAAACAGCAAUUCACAGUGGGUUAGAACAAAAGACUAGGAUGUAAACAAGAAUAAAAUGCCCUGUUUAACAAUAUUUCAGGAUAAAAUUAGAAUAUGGAUUGCAUACCAUAAGCCACAAGCCCUCAGCUUCUGAGAUGGCCACUUUUGUCAAAAUAUUCCUCAGGAGUUCAAAGAUGGACAGCAAAUCAGCCUUGCUUGGAGAAGGACAUUUCCUUGUGACAUAUUUCAUCUCCACUGAAACCCUUAAAAGCCAUAAAUAUACUGCCCCUGAAAAUUUUCCAUUGCAAAACUUUUCUGCCAGCUUUCUGGCUUCAUCCAAUUUCCCAAGUUGCAAGUAGAGUGAAACAUGUUGGCAAGCAAGAUCCUCAGUAAGGCAACCCAUAUUUUCAGCCUUUUCAUACACCAUCAAGAGAUGUGAAAGAGAACCUACUGUAUGUUCAGAGGUACUAAAUGGUUCAGAAUUUUUGGUUUUUUCUCUGGAAACAAUAGCAUCCAUUAGGAACUUUGUGUACAGAUUAAACAUCACUGCUGAAGGCAAAAAUUUUAAAGCCUCCUCAUAAACCUACAUGUAACAGAACAAGCAAGAUUAUCAUUAGAGGGUUCAAGGUACAUGUUGAAGAAAACUUCAAUCUAUGAUUAAAGAUAUUACAAUUGUCAUGUGCAAUCAAACUGUAAACAAUAAAAGAGUAGCGAAAUAAUAUAUAGGAAUCAACAUGCUCCCUUAACAGGAUAACAUGUUCAACAUGAUUAUUUGAAAGGCCCAUAGAUAUGCAUGCAUACAUGGGAUAAUAAAGCUUAUCAAUGCUCAGAUUUACAUCUAAUUGCUCAAUCAACAUGAUUUUAGCAUCCGCUAAAUUGUGUUCAAUGAUUUUCUUGGAGCAGUUAACAUCCAUUUUGAUCAGUAAUCUUCUUAUGCUCAUGAAUGAACGGAUUAUUUUGCAUGAAAUGCCUUGUGGCACAACAACAGGUAUGCAUCAGUGGAAUAAAAUCACAACUAAUAAGAACUAUUAUGCACACAAAAAUUCAUAGUAGGUCACUAGUUCACAUGGAUUCCUACCUGAACUGCCUUUUGCAACCGAGAAGGCACGAUAUCUGUACUUCUUUCUUGUGUGAUUUCAGAAUCAAUAGUUUCAAGUCUUGCGAGCCAGUCCCAGUAUUCUGGUUCUGCUGAAAAAUCUCUUUUCAUGUCACUCAGUAUCUCCUUUUGCAUUUCUUUUGAGCCUGCUAAAUUUAUUGCUUCCAAUAUCUCAAAAAAUUGUGUUCUCAGGCUGAAUCUAGAAGGGAUGGCUUCUACUGCACCACUGUAUAUAGUGCGAAGAAUGCUCAAACCUUGCUCCUGAAACAUAUCUGAUUUCUUCUUUGACUCCUCAUUUUGUCUAUUUGAUACAUCCCUACUCCCUCUUUCUUCAUCCAGGGACAUAAAUAAAUCUUUGUUUUCCUCUCUCCACUGCUUUUCAUCAGCAUCUCUGUGGUCAUUGAUCAGGGUUCCUUCAUCUUCUCCAAGAGCCACCUUUCUAGCUUUUAACUUAUUAAGGUAUGUCAGUUCCAUCCGAAGAUACUCUACCCAAAGAUCUUCUGAAGUUGGGCAUACUCUCAGCCCGCUCUGCAUGAGAGCACGUGCAGCUGUGGCAUUUAAAUUAUGGUCAAACUCCCAAGCUGCAGCAUAAAUCCAAACUCCUGGAACCUUUGGAUGAAACCUAAUUACCUGAGCAAGAACCUGCAAAAAAUUCAAGAGGAAGAAAGAAAAACUAUGAUAUUCCUCCAAUAACAAUUUUAAAAAAGAAAAGAAAAAAACAACAAACCAUUUGAAUCAAACAGAUGGAAAUGAAUCCAUUCUCAAAUUUUGCAUUCUUGUUAUAUAUUGGACCAGAAGCCUCUGUGUCAAAUCUAGAAAUGCCCUUCAGCAUGAUAUUAUUCAGUUUGGAUAUUUGCAAUUUUUUACAUGUUUUGAUUCAACAUUCAACUUGGUCUGGGUAAGAUUGCAGACACCAAGAAUGGAAGCAGGAACAAGACAAUAAUCAACAGCAUGAUAUGGAGCUAAGUUUGGGAUUUCAAGCCUAGGAAAACAGAUACUCCGUCUUUGCAUAUAAAACCAAUCUCUAUAAAGAUAUAGUUGGAUAAUAAUCCGAGAGAGGAUUUACUGAAAAAUGCAAUAUGAUACGGUAGUGCCAUCAAUCUAAGGAUUCUAACCACAGUAUCAAAUGGUCAGCAAAAUUAGCUUUCAUAGGGACCCCAAGACCAACUGAUGGUACAAUUAGUUCAACCUCACAAAGCUUUGACCCUACUGCCUAUUUUAGUGUACAUUUUUCUGAGUUAAAAUUAAUCCACCAUUAGACAUCUCAUAUAAAGCCAAAUUCGAUCAGAAAAGAAGAUAUCAAUUUGAUUGCAGAUAACACAUUUGGCACAAAUUUCUCAUACUAAUAGAAUGACCAGUCCAUUUGGCUGAUAACAAAAUGAAGACAAGAAAAGGAAUCAAACAUCUUCAAAUUUCAUAUUUAAACAAGACAACACAGAUAUAGCACCCAAAAUUGGCUUAGCUUGGAUGCUGAGAAUAUGCAUGGAAAGAAAGAAAAUUAGAAAAUUUGAGCUCCCAAAUUGUCCAUAUUUAAAAUUCCAGGAACCAGAAAGCUCCCCCAUGGCUUAGUUGAACCCAACUAAUUCCUUUUUUUUUUUUUUCCUGAAAAAAACGAAGAACCAGAAUUUGCUAUAUGUCAUCUUAAUUUCUUUCCCUUCGUUUUUUUAGCAACCAAACACAGCAGAAACUUUGAGAAACCAAACCACAAAAAAAAAGAAGAAAAAAGUGAAAAGUUGCAGGGAAAAAGUACAAAAAUCCGAACUUGUAAAUUGUUCAUAUUUUGGAUUGCAUAACCACCAAGUUGCAACUUGAUUUAGUGGAGCUACCUAAUUCAUUUUUCUUUUCUUCUUUCACCUACAACACAUGAAGACUAAGAAUUUGCUAUAUAUUAUUCUCCUUUCUUUUCCAUAAUUUUCUCAGCAACCAAGCAGAGCAGAAAAAGUUAAGAAACCAAACAAUACCUUCUUCAUCCGGCCAUUCCUCCGCUCUCGGCAAAACUCAAGAUACCGAAACCACAGAUCAAUAUCGCCCUUAUACCUCAUCACUGCCAACUGAUAAAUCUCCAAAAUCCUCGAAACGCCGGCGAAAUCAGAGACGGACUUCUUUGUCUUCUUCUUCGCUUCCCGCGCCACCGACUUCUUGCGGAGACGGCGGAGUGAGUCCAGCUGCUUCUCGUACUCGAUAUAGGCCAGAUAGUCUUGCUUGAGCGGACUCGGACGCUUCAGCCUGUACUCAAACUUCCUCCUCUGCUUCACGAUUUCGGCAAUUUCCCGGCGGCUGAAGACGCCUCUUCGCUCGAGGUCAUCGAGCUCGUUGACCAUGCGCUCCAGCCUAUACUGCACUACGUCCGCCAUUGUUGGUUGCUGAGGGCUGACUCAGUGAGUCGACUCAGCGAGGGAGAGAUUCAGAAAGAAGGAAGCAAGUGAAAUUACUCUAGGGCGGGUGAGGGAGGCGUUUGUCAUCUUUGUUUCUGUGUCCCUGUGGUUCAGUGGGCUGGGCUGGGCCGACCUAGUAUGAUGUUGGGCCUGGCCUUAGUGCCCUCGGCCCAUUGAGUUUGAAAUCCAACUUAAGAAUAAGAGUUUAAUUUCAAAAAACUCUGUAAGUAAAAAUAAACUCUUCCCGUUAAAAAAUUUACUUUUUCUUAAAAUAGAUUAUAUUUUAGGGUUAUUUGAUUAAGAAUAUAAAAUAAUCUAUAAAUUUACGAAUCUAACCCUUCACAUAUUUGACCCUACAAAAUGAGUCAUUUUGACAAUACCAUCCAUCUCUUAUAAAAAUUGUUAUCUCUUCUAAAACUUAUAUAAAAAUAAUUCAAAUAUUAAAUGAUAUUUAUAUUAAAAACAAAUUACUUUUUAAAUUCAAAUAUGGGAGGAAUUAUUAUUAUUUUUUAAAUUUAUAUUAUUUCAUCUCUUUUAAUCGAAUAAUCCCAUAUUUUAAUUUCCCUAAAAUUAACCUAGGGCUGAAUGAUUAAUAAUAUAUUUCAAAUUGACCUAAAAUUUAAAAUUAUUAGGUAAUAAUUACUCAAUAAUAAUGCAAAUAAAUGAGUUUUUUUGGCUAAAUAGUCCUUUUAUGAAAUAAAUAAAUAAAUCUAACCACUUUAUCAAACUUAUAUUCAAAAUAGUCAUUUUAUUGCAAGGUACGAAUUAUAUCAUUAAUUAUUUUAAAAAAAAAAAUUUAAAUCUCAAUUGACAAUUGAGUCUUCUUUUUUAAAAAUGAAGUUUCAAUUACGACUUCAUUUUUUAACCUAAAAUCUCGAAUGUCAAUUGAGAUUUCAAUUAAAAAAUAAAACCUUAAUUGUCAAUAAAAUUUCGUUUUUGAAUUAAAGUUUCAAUUGAUAAUUAAGACUUAAUUUUAAAAUUAAAGUCUUAAUUAUUAAUUGAAGCUUCAUUUUUAUGGGAGGAUGAUGAGACCAUUUUGAAUAUAAGUUUUCAAAUGACCUAAAAGCUAUAUUUUUGUGGUCAAAGGGACAAUUUUGAUCCAAAAUUCUAAAUAAAUGGAUAUGAAGAGCUUAUUUGUGAGUGAUUUUAAGAAGUAAUUAAUUAAUAUUUGGAUUAAUGUUUUAUUGGAUAAACAUUAUAAAUAAGAGUGUUAAAGGAGAGAAUUGAACAGGUUCAUGUAUGAAAGUAAAUGAUAAUGAUAAUCAUAUGAUAUAAUAUGAAAUGGGAGCGUUGAUACAUUAUAUAUUUGCCAUAUUGGCUCAUAUUGAAGGCAUAUAUGUAAAUGACAAUAUAUAUAUGACUUAUGAGAGAUGAUGAUGAUGCUGAUGAUGACGGAGGAGUAGUUUAUUAGGGGUGAGUAUUGCCAGUACUAUCUUCCACCCCAUGGCCGCCGCCGCUUCCCAUUCCAAAUCCGAAGCCAAUGCCCAUCCCAAAUCCCAUGCCAAUCCCACCAUUCCCGGCUUCUCUUCCUUCUCUACUACUCGCAUCAAACCCUCCACCUGCACCGAAACCCUCUCCAUGGCCAGACCCUCCACUUGACCCUCCACCACCGCUGCCUCCUCCUCCUCCUCCACCUGUAUCACUACCACCUGCUCCUCCACCAAACCCACUCCCGUGUCCAUACCCUCCACUAGAACCAUACCCACCACUUCCUUCACCUCCACCACCUCCUCCUCCUGCAAAGCCUUGAUUCCCUGUGAAUCCACCUUCAUUACCAGCUCCAAAAGCGGCACCUGCACCAUAUCCACUACCAUGUCCAAAACCAACUCCAUCUGUGUUGUUGCUGCCACCANNNNNNNNNNNNNNNNNNNNNNNNNNNNNNNNNNNNNNNNNNNNNNNNNNNNNNNNNNNNNNNNNNNNNNNNNNNNNNNNNNNNNNNNNNNNNNNNNNNNACCUCCACCGCCAAAGCCUCCCCCACCACCACUCUUGCCCCCUCCAGAACCAUGUCCUUCCCCAUGCCCAUCUCCCCCACCAUCUCCUCCUCCUCCUCCACCGCCACCACCACCACCACCACCCCCUGCACCAACCCCUCUACCACCUUGGCCAUAGAAACUUCCACAGCCCCUCCAACCCCGGCAAUAAUCAUCAUUGAACCUCCAACCAUUUGGGCCUCCAAAGCGGCCCUCAUCCUCCUCCUCCCCAUAACCAUUUACUUCAUCACUCAACCCAAUAACAACGCUCAAAAGAAGAAGAGCUCUACACACAAACUUAGCACAAGUACCCAUGUUCUCCACUUGCUUCAUGUCCUCCUCUCCAUGCCCUCUUCUUAUAUAAACCCGCAACCACACUCAUAUCAUCUCUCUCAGUUACUGGCGUAAGUUCAAUACUACAGUGUUCUACGUUAAACAGUCAUGAAUAAGCAAUGAUAUGAAUGACAAGUCUUAAGUCUACGUACAUGGUAAUAUCAUAAUCUGGUCAACCUUCGCCGACAAAAACACCAUUAAAAAACCAUCAAAACCCAAAAUGAUUGCGAACAGUCGAAAACUACUAGAGAAUUCUUUACAAUAAUAAUCAACAAGAGAUGGUGGAGUUGGUGAUCAUGAUUCUAGAUCCAUGACAUACCCAAGAGUGGGGGGGGAGAGGCCCAUUACACUACACAAAAAAACAAUCAAAAUGUGCUACAAAUCCAUGUCUUAUUUUGUUCAUUUAUGGAGUCUCGUCUGUCAUUUUGAUUAUAGAAUUGGAUCCUCAGGAGUUGUGGAAGCCACCACAGAAUGUCCAUUUGCAGCUAGCAUGACAUGUGGCUAGCUAUUCACUUAAUUUCAGAAAGCAAUCUACUUAGUAUUAUUUUGUUGCUUUGUUCCGGUGUUUUCCAUGGCUAUCAGCAUACAAAAUAUAUACGUUUCUUACCCGUAAUAUUCUGCAUGCCACCAUUUCGAUUAGCACACCAACUAAGCAAGUGGAAUGGAGUAUCGUAAUAUUGGGGCCAACCCUCAAAUCACACCUACCACCACAUUGGAUUGUCAAGGCCCCUCUAAUCAUAAAAUUUUAUAUGUAAUCAUCAGUACUAGAGAGGACAGUUGCACUCUGGUUUUGUGUUAACCCAAUCCCACACACCAAUACUUAAGAAUCUAUUAACCAUAUCAAAUGAAGAUGAAAAGUUAUAGUGGUAAAAACUGUCGCUCCUCUCAAUUGCAGUCAUACACUUUUUUUUCUUUUUAAUAUGAAGACGAUAAAAUAUACUAGGACAAACUCAUUAUUCAAAUCCAACAUCCCUGUAUAGUACGACAAAACUAUUCAGGCUUUACAAUCCAACAUUUUACACCAUGCAAUCCUGUCAUAUCCAACCACCUAAGAGAUGGAUGAUAUAUUAAUCUAUUUGAUUCUUGAGCCCCAAUCUCGUUCCCUACUGUAACAAAGACAAGUCCUAUAUAUCAAGGUUCGAAUUAUUUACUGUACCGUUACCUGGAUGGCGGGGACCAUGACACUUACUGCCUCUUGUAGCUAUAUAUCUAAGAAAUUAGAUCUCCUUCAUUAAGGUAUUCAUCAAUGCUAGACCCAAUUAAUGUCCUUUUUCUUUGUCCGGGAGAAGGACAUGGCUCCUUUUCUGCUGUAGGAAAUGGAAAAUUUUCUUCUUACCAUGAUUAUUGAGUUUGAUAUAAAUGAAAUUAACUAAAUUUCUUUCAUGGCAGAAUUUGUCUGCUCCACUUGUGUUUGUAAUAUUCAUUUGUUUUGUUAAGCUAUCUAGAUUCUCUUCAUCCAAACACGCAAUUAACUAAAAGGCACCAUCAACAUAUGAAAGAAAGAAAUGCAAGCCAAAAACUGCAUCAGCAAAAUUGUUUCUUCUCGUAAUAAUACUGUCAAAAUUAAUCAUUUAUCCUUCAUUGAACCUAACCAGAGAGCUGGGUACAUCAUUAACCUUCUAAUCAGCUGGUACUAAGUAACCACUCCCACUUAAGCAUUCUAGAUCCUUUUAUUUGAGUUUUAAAAUCUCCAAGUGGGGAAUAUAUAUAGCUUAGUUCCAUGUGGCUAAGAAUAGCUGUUCAUAUAUAUGGUGUACUUGUGGGAAUUUCAACAGGUAGUAUUAAGUGAUCAUAUUGAUGUAGGCAUGAAAACAUGGAAUCAUAGACAUGUGCACUGCCCCUCAAGCCUGAUUUUUGAUUGUUUGUGUAUUGUUACAUCAAGGAGGAGAGUAAAUAUUUUAUUCUAAAAUUGAAGAGUCGUAUAAUUAAAUGUCUUGGGUCCCUUUCCUAAAAUAUUUAUGUCUAUCAGAUGUAUGAGAGAGAAAUUGACCUAAUUUAUUAAGCUUCCUCAUGGUCUUGCUUGGCUGUCCAGCAAAAAAUUGGCUGUGGCGCCCCUUACUCCUUUCUAUAUUUAUCAAAAAUUAAUGCCAAGAAAGCGAUGAUCUGUUCUUAGCCAAAUAUUCAACCCUUUCAGACCCUUUCACCACCUCCACCAAGCUUGCUCUAGUUUGUGAAACGUCUAACAUUAAUUCUUAGGUUCUUCAUGCAAUUGUUGUUCAUUAUAUCUCAUCUUCUUUCAUAUUUUAUUCUUUGUUACUAAUCAAAUUCCUUUUUAGUUUUUCAUUCCAGGCUACUUUUUGAAAUUAAUCCAGAUGAAGUGUUCAGUUACAGAAAAUUAAUUUUGAAGUAGAGAUUGGGUAAAUUGUUGAAGCUUAUUACAAGGAGAUUCAUGACAAGAAACACCAUAUUUAUUAAUCAAACAACCCAACUGCUAAGCAGAAGGGGUCCAAUACAUCAUCGGCCAUUACUUAAUUGGGUCACAACUGCAUGUUAUGUAUACACACACCAUAAUCUCAUGCAUUUUCUCAUGGCUAGUCUCAUCAUUUAUUCAGUCCCUAUACUGCUACUCAAGGUACAUAUAUAAGAAUAAUAGGAGAGAAGAAUUUAUUUCAACAUUCCCAUACGUAACAGAACCAAACAGUACUGGACACAAUGAACAAACAUCAUCAUAGUAAAGAACUUGCAAGAGACUCCUAACUUCAGCACAAUGUUGAUUGAUAAACUAGCAUCAUAUAUAGGUUGGAGACAAAUUAAGAUUGUGAACUUUCAAGGCAGUCCACCUCCAACACCUCCACCAAACCCUCCUCCUCCUCCUUUGCCAAGCCCACCCCCAGCUCCACCUCCAAAACCAGAUCCACCACCUAGUCCACCACCACCACCUAGUCCUCCACCACCGCCCCCACCAAAUCCUCCACCACCACCAAAUCCAGCUCCCCCGCCUUUGCCUACACCCCCACCAAAGCCCACACCCCCACCGCCCCCAAUGCCGCCACCGCAGCCAGGAAGCUUGUGGAAGAAUAUCUUCUGCUCAACAAGAUCACCCUUCCCCCUCACAAGCCUCCUAGCAUCAAUGGUGCAAAUAAGUACUGCACCAAGAAGCACUAGAACAGCUACACACUUAGUAUUCAUCAGUGUACAUAUAAGAAAAUAUACAACUGAUAAAACUUUUCUGGUAUGAUAAGUGGCAUUCAGAAGUAGAGAAUAUAUAGAGGUUUGAGAAUUAAAAACCGAAGAAGGAAGCAGUUGAGAAGAAUUUAAAUUUACUCUACAAUCCGUGCUUGGACAGUUAAUACAGCCAACUGCCUCUACGCAAAAGGAGACCCACCCCAUUUCGAUGAUCAACCACCACCUCAAGGUUGUCAAUUGCAUUUUCAGUACUUAAGAAUAUCUUUCUAAAUUUUUUCACUCAAACAUUAAUUCUUCUCCACCAUUUUUCUAUAAAAUUGAUGUAAGAGUAAAACUGAUGAACCCUAAUUGGGUGCAUUAAUCACUUCGAUACAUUGUAGGCGAGGUUGUUGCAGGAAAGACAUAUGAAUAAAUACAAGAAGGGCCUAGUGGCAGCCAUAUUUUCACAGGAUGAAAGAAAAAGUUGGACCACCUUGCCAUGGCCACAAUUCAACUUUUGGAAAGUAAUUAAUUCUCUUUUUUGCUGUUUGAUGGAUGUGACACUCUAUAUGUAGGAAUCCCUUCUUCUUUUUUUCUUAUGUUUAAUCUCCAUCUUUUUUGCUAUAUAUUCCAAUGGGGCUAGGAACUACUUAGUAAUAAAAAUUAUCAACCAUGUGAAACAUUUCAUUAAUGAACUCUUUAUAAUCACCAAAACUUCAUGAAUUAAUCCAGACCCUCCUUAGGUUCUGUCAGAUGUGGGGUUCAUGCUAUUAAUUAAUUUCUAUCUUCAAUUCAUAUAUGGUGAAGGUACAAUGUCGAAGUUACCGACAUUUUGGGUGGCGUAGUGAAGAUUCAAUCUGACUCCAGUUGAAUCUCAUAACGAUAUGAUCAUUAAACUCUUUCUGUGCACAUCCUUUUUGAUCCCGGCAUUUCAAUGCAGUUAUGGCAGUGAAAUUCCUGCCUAUUCAUUUCAUUUACCUACCAGUAUACAUGUAUGUUGGGAGAGCAAUUGAUCCACACAAACCAGCCAUAACAAAGAAAAAUAAAAAAGAGAAGUUUCAUAUUUAUAUAUAUACUAACAACAUAUGGUUCACCAAUUUCAAUUUGUUCCACAUUUCAGACCAAAACCAUACAAAUUGUUAGAAAAAAAAGAAAAAGAAAAAGAAAAAAGGAGCAUUCCAUCUGGUUGGAAUAAAUUAAAACCCCAUAGAUGAUCAGCUGGACAGAGCUCAAAACUCAGCUCAAUAAUAUGUGCUGCCCAUUGAUGAUUAUUGUCAAGCUUUCUAAAUUGUGAGUAUGGUGGUUAUGCAUGUCAUCAUGUUAUCCAAGAGUCAGCUCAAGAGAGAUACCAUUCUCAUCUUUAUCAUUCCCAUCAGCCUUCUUCUCUGCAGCCUUGGACGAAUCUCCAUAUCUAUAAUCACCAUUACUACCCUUGCACCCCAAAACAUCCGCCCAGGCCUUCCCCUUCGCUUUGCUCUCCUGAAACAAUAUGUAUAUGGUUUGUAAUCAAGGGUUUUGGAAGGAACUAUAUAUAGAGUCCAGGGAAUGAGAUAGAAAUUUACUUGGGAAGCUUUGGAACUCUUGAGAAGAUCAUUGAACAUUAUGUAAGAACUUAGCUUCAGUUGCAUCCCUUUCCCUGCCUCCUGUCGAUAUGGUAGUGACUGAUCAUGACCCAUCACGCUAGUUCCAACCCCAGUCUCUUGCUUCUUCUCCCUACAAAAUUCCAUCCAAAUAUAAAGAGAGAGAGAAGGAAAAUACAGUCUCUUGCUUCUUCUCCCUACAAAAUUCCAUCCAAAUAUAAAGAGAGAGAUAGAGAGAGAAGGAAAAUCCACAAACCAUUGUGGUGGGAUGGUCGGAUUAUUGAGAGCAAGGCCUCGCAUAUAACCAGUUCCAUGACUUUGAUAUGGGAAUCCAUUGUUAUUCAUCCAUCCAUUUUCCACACGAUAAUGAUUAGGACACAAGUAAUUUCUCCCUGAGUUGACCAGCAUCUCUUCAUUUAUCUUCGCUGCCUCACCCGCUUCUGCAAUAAGAAAAUUAUAAUCUUCCAAGUGAUAAUAUACAUCAAAUUUUUUAACUAGAAAAAGGGUAAAAUAAGACCCUUCAUGAAGAGAAUUAAUUCAGUGACAGGCCUCUUAAUUUAUAUUCUUCAUAAAUAGACAAUUAUUAAAAUCAAUUAAUGGAAAUAAUUAUUAUUCAUUUAAUGCAUUCAUUGAUGAUACAUAAAAGAGAAGGGGAUGGUAUGAAGCAUUUAGUUGGCAACAAUAUCUAAAAUAUUAAUUUUUCUAGUAAAAAUAAAUAAAAUAAAAAGUUCUAGUAAAAAAAUAAAAAAAAAUUAAAACAUUGAAACCCUACAAUGGAGAGGGUGGCCAUGGAUUAAUAAUGUAGAUGUAAUACCUUGAACAAUUUGCUCAUGCUUCAUGCUUCUGUACAUCUGUCCAUUAGAAAAAAUAAAGCUUUUAGACAACUAUAUAGUGUGUAUGAAGAAAACCCCAAACUUGGAAGUGAUAAUUUUAACAAGGGAAAGAUUGUUCCUAACCUGAAGAUGACUCUUAAUGUGAGAUAUGGAAAGACCUUUUACAUCCAUGAUUUGUAAAAUCAUCUUGGGAGUAGCUCCUAAAAAUCGAUACCCAUAAUUAAAAUGACAUUUUAAAAAAAAAAAUUAGAUGGGUAAAAUUAAUGAACCAUUUCAAGAGGUGAUGGAUUUUCUUUCUUAGAUAGAAUUAUCAUAACAACGAUAGGGUUGAUGUUUNNNNNNNNNNNNNNNNNNNNNNNNNNNNNNNNNNNNNNNNNNNNNNNNNNNNNNNNNNNNNNNNNNNNNNNNNNNNNNNNNNNNNNNNNNNNNNNNNNNNUUAAAAAAUUAUUACAUUUUUUUUCGGAAAAAAAAAAAGGAAAAGAAAAAAAAAAGGGCCUAAUCACACACCCGAAAGGGGGCCAAAAGGAACUAAAAAGAUGACAUAACGAAUGCAAGUCCCAGAGGAAACAUACCAAAAAUUCCUCCAAAUUCAUACGUCCUCAUUCCGAAGACCAAAGCUCCUCUUAUUCCGCCUAGACUUUUUCCUCGAAAGAACACAAUCGAGACUUCAAAACAUGCCUACUCUCAUUCCCAUUCAGUCUUCCUCCUACGCCCACUCCCUCCCUGACAUAUGCCGACACGUACGCCAACUCGACAUGCGCUCUCGACACGUCCACUGGUGGGUAAUGGGUGCAUGUUGAGUGGGCGUGAAGUAUGGAUGGUAUUCGGAUCGAGAAGAGCCAAAAUGGCUGAAAUCAGGUCUGGGUGUCGGGAUGUGGGGGAUGAGGCAUCUGCAGAGAGAGAGAGAGAGAGAGAGUGUAAAAACUGCAGUGCAGAAGUGGUUUAGGGGUGGGGGAGGGAAUAUUAUGUGGAGGGAUAGCUAGAAGUGUGGACAGGUGUGGAGGAUGGCGUAAGAUGGAAUAAUGGGGACGAGAGGAUGAAGGGAACUGUCUGAAUAUUGUGGAUGCUCAUCCGUUUCUUUUACCGGCCCUGCCUGUGUCCCAUGGGGUAUGGCCAAAAUUGCUUUGCUUUUGCAUUCAUUGCUCAAUUACUCUUCACCAGUUUCUAUUAGUUUUAUGAUUGCAGGCUGAGAUGGACUCUCUGGUUCAUGGGAGUUGGCCGCCAUGGUUGAAAAUUCUUUAGCUACGUACAAAUAUCAUUGAAAGCAUCUUUUAGAAUAUAAGGUGUUGUUUGGACAAUAUUGGCAUUUGGGUUGGGUUGUAUAACUCAUCCAUAUACUCUUGUAUAAAGUUUCAAAAGAAACUAAUAGAAAAAAUCACUUCGGUUGCCAAAUGCACCAAGCUUUUGCAUGGUAUUAAAGUAGCAAGAUGUUGGAAAAAAAAUAAUAAUCAAAUUUAUAUCAACAAUCAAUAAUAAGAUGAUUUGAUUUUCCAUAUGGUGGGCAAGUUACUUUACUACCAUAUAAAGCUAAUUGGUCGAUGAUGUAGUUGUAUGUUGUUCAUCUUUCUUUGUUAUUUGACUGUUUAGGUGAUUGUGGUCAUAAUUAUUAUGCUCAGUAGGUGUGAAUGAAUCCUCUUCCCUUGAGUUGAAAUUUCCUUUGUUUUUUUUUUACCAUGAUCUCAUUGUACAAAGAAAUAAGCUUUGUGUAUGCUUUUAAAAUGUCCUCUCCUCCUUUUGGAAAAAAUUGUAAGUGAUUGGUCAUGUGCUUAAAGACUUAGUAUGAAUAGACGAAAGGAUACGACGGUUUAAUAAACAUAGCAAAUAAAAAAAAAAUUAUAUUUUAUCUUAAACCAUGAGGUUAUGUUUGAUUGGUGGGAUAGGAUAUGAUAUGUAUAUCUUAAGAUAUCAUAUUCAUUAGGAUAUGAUAUGCAUAUUUUAGGAUAUGAUUUUCAAUGGGAUAUGAUAUCUUUGGAUAUAUAUAUCUUAUGAACAUGAUAUUUUAAGGUAGCAUAUUCAAUUAGAUAUGUUGUAUUAUAUUUAUAUUUAAUUUAUGAAAUAAAAAAAAUAUGCAAUAUAUAUUAUUUUCAAUGUUUAAAAUAAAAAUUAUAUCAUAUUCAAAUAUUUUCUAUUUAAAAAAAUGAAAUUUCACUUAUAUUUAAUAUAUAUAUAAAUAAUUUAUAUAUCAUAUAUUUUUUUAUAUAUAAAUAUUUUUUUAGUUUUUCUUUUUUAAUUAUAUAUUUAAUUUAUAACAAAAAAAUUAUUUUAUAAAAUGAGUAUAUUAAAAAACAAAAAAUUAAUAAAAACAAAUAAAUUUUUGAUACAUGGAAUGCGUAUAUCCUAUAUAUCUUACCAUGGGAUUAACAUAUUCACUGGAUACAUUAUCCACUAUUUUUUUUCAUCAUUUUCGUAUAAGAUGGGAUAUCAUAUCCCCUCUCUUAUCAUAUCUCAUAUUAUAUCUGACCAACCAAAUAUAGCUUGAGUGAAUUUGAAAAUUUUGUUUUGAUCUAAAGUUAGUUUUUCAAUUUAUAUGAUGAAAUUAUCACAUAUUUUUUUUGAAGUUCUUCAAAAAAAUCUUCAAGAGACUGUGACCCCUUUUAAGAGCCAUCCACAUAAUUUUUUUGGAUUUUUUUUUUCUAUUUUUACUAUAAUAAGAAGCAAUUGUUCUUCAAGAAAAGUACAUUCCUCAUGUCACUUUAAUACUAAAGAUAAUUUGAUUUUUCACACAUUUGAUAAGUUAUUUUACUAUUGUUAUUAAAACUAUUUGAAUGUUAUUGAUGAUGUUUUUCUUUUGGUUGAAUUGUUAUUGCUUUGAAGAUUAUGAUUACCAUUAUACUGCUAUGAGGAUUAUGAUUACCAUUAUAGUGCCUAGCAAGUAUGAAUUCUCUUUCCUUCGAAUUGCCAUUUCUUUUGCCCCCUCGAUCAUUUAUUUUUUCGACUAUGACAUUGAUGUUCAAAGAAAACUUGAACAUGAUCUAAAAAUGUAGUGAAUGAUUGUUCAUGUCCUUAAAGAGUUAAUAUUAGUUUAUUGAUGGAAUUAUAGGGUUAUAUAUAUAUAGCCAUUAUUGAAUAAUUCCUUUUUUGUGAGUUUCAAAUGGAAUCAACAUAAUUUACAAUUUAUGCAUUUUCAUGGUUUACAAUAUUAAUUAAAAUAAUUUUUUUAUUUUUGAAUAAACUAUUUGGCCAAUCAAUUCACCCUUCUUAUUUUACCAUGAAUCUGAGUUAUAUAUUAUUAUAAUUUUAAAACGUUAUAAUUAUUAUUUAUUGGAAGUCAAGUAGAAUGAGGUGAUUAAGAGGUACAUUGGAUAACGUAUUUUAAUAGAAUGUUUCGUAGUAUNNNNNNNNNNNNNNNNNNNNNNNNNNNNNNNNNNNNNNNNNNNNNNNNNNNNNNNNNNNNNNNNNNNNNNNNNNNNNNNNNNNNNNNNNNNNNNNNNNNNAAUUAAUCAAAAACAUACUUGGUUUUUUUAUCGUACUGAAUUGAACUGAACUUAAACCAGUGGAUUAUUGUGUUCAUGAACCAAACCGAAUCAAUCGGUUGUCUUUAAAUUUUAUCAAUUCAAUUCAAACUAACCUCAACUAGAUUUUAAUCAAAACUGAACCCAACCAUACAUACCCUUAAUUAAAAUAUAACCAAAAAUCCAUCCAAAAAAAAUCAUCAAAUAAUGAUCUUUUCUUUUCUACGUGGACGAAAAAUUAGUUGAUAAUGGAUUCAAUCAGAGAACUACAUAGAAAUGGGGAACUCUUGGCACAAAAAUAGACUAAACUCAAUGCUCAAGUUGAGCACUUACAAUGGGGUAAACUCUCAUCUUAGCUCUCACCCUGCAACCAUGUCACCCUCUUGUGACAAUCCGGGGUCUGGCUGGUUUCAAAGAGGUCGGGUGUGGCGGCCUGAUGCCCGGCCACAGAGAAGAGCAUUCUUUGGGAUUGGUAAUUCAUCUCUCCAUGAAUUUGCUGGGGAGAAAACCCUAAGAUAGAACUGCUGUCCCAGGUACUGCCUAGCCCAGUUUUCAGACCUUACAUUCCACAUACCUACAUUGUCCAGAGCCAUGUAGAUUGCAGUCCAUGCCUUGGGAUAAACCUGGCCCCAAUCAAAGACAUCAAUGAAGUACUGCUCUACACUACAAUGGAGUUGAAAAAUACUCAGGUUUUUUUUAUACCUGAACAGUGCAACGAGCAACCGUGUCUCUCAGAUUGUAGCUUGCUCUACUUGCAGGCGUCCACUGCCCUCCAUCCAUUCUGAUAAUCCCCAAAAAUUGCAGUAUCUUUAGAAGGACAGAAACAAAAUCAUACAUAGGAUCAGGCAAGAAGAAGCUUACCCCAUGACAAAAAAGGAAUAGCCAUCAAUGUGCCAUGACUGGACAAUGNNNNNNNNNNNNNNNNNNNNNNNNNNNNNNNNNNNNNNNNNNNNNNNNNNNNNNNNNNNNNNNNNNNNNNNNNNNNNNNNNNNNNNNNNNNNNNNNNNNNUGGAUGCUCAUCCGUUUCUUUUACCGGCCCUGCCUGUGUCCCAUGGGGUAUGGCCAAAAUUGCUUUGCUUUUGCAUUCAUUGCUCAAUUACUCUUCACCAGUUUCUAUUAGUUUUAUGAUUGAAGGUUGAGAUGGACUCUCUGGUUCAUGGGAGUUGGCCGCCAUGGUUGAAAAUUCUUUAGCUACGUACAAAUAUCAUUGAAAGCAUCUUUUAGAAUAUAAGGUGUUGUUUGGACAAUAUUGGCAUUUGGGUUGGGUUGUAUAACUCAUCCAUAUACUCUUGUAUAAAGUUUCAAAAGAAACUAAUAGAAAAAAUCACUUCGGUUGCCAAAUGCACCAAGCUUUUGCAUGGUAUUAAAGUAGCAAGAGGUUGGAAAAAAAUAAUAAUCCAAUUUAUAUCAACAAUCAAUAAUAAGAUGAUUUGAUUUUCCAUAUGGUGGGCAAGUUACUUUACUACCAUAUAAAGCUAAUUGGUCGAUGAUGUAGUUGUAUGUUGUUCAUCUUUCUUUGUUAUUUGACUGUUUAGGUGAUUGUGGUCAUAAUCAUUAUGCUCAGUAGGUGUGAAUGAAUCCUCUUCCCUUGAGUUGAAAUUUCCUUUGUUUUUUUUACCAUUUUUACCAUGAUCUCAUUGUACAAAGAAAUAAGCUUUGUGUAUGCUUUUAAAAUGUCCUCUCCUCCUUUUGGAAAAAAUUGUAAGUGAUUGGUCAUGUGCUUAAAGACUUAGUAUGAAUAGACGAAAGGAUACGACAGUUUAAUAAACAUAGCAAAUAAAAAAAAAAUUAUAUUUUAUCUUAAACCAUGAGGUUACGUUUGAUUGGUGGGAUAGGAUAUGAUAUGUAUAUCUUAGGAUAUCAUAUUCAUUAGGAUAUGAUAUGCAUAUUUUAGGAUAUAAUUUUUAAUAGGAUAUGAUAUCUUUGGAUAUAUAUAUCUUAUGAACAUGAUAUUUUAAGGUAGAAUAUUCAAUUAGAUAUGUUGUAUUAUAUUUAUAUUUAAUUUAUGAAAUAAAUAACAAAAUAAUAUGAAAUAUAUAUUAUUUUCAAUGUUUAAAAUAAAAAUUAUAUCAUAUUCAAAUAUUUUCUAUUUAAAAAAAUGAAAUUUCACUUAUAUUUAAUAUAUAAAAAUAAUUUAUAUAUCAUAUAUUUUUUUUAUAUAUAAAUAUUUUUUUAGUUUUUCUUUUUUAAUUAUGUAUUUAAUUUAUAACAAAAAAAAUUAUUUUAUAAAAUGAGUAUAUUAAAAAACAAAAAAUUAGUAUAAAUAAAUAAAUUUUUGAUACAUGGAAUACGUAUAUCCUAUAUCUUACCAUGGGAUUAACAUAUUCUAUGUGAAAGUGAUGAAAAAAAAUGGUGGAUAAUAUAUUUCAUCACUUAUUCUAUCCAAUAUUUGAUUGAACAUAGGAUAGGAAAAGUGAUGGGAUACAUUAUCCACUAUUUUUUUUCAUUAUUUUCAUAUAAGAUGGGAUAUCAUAUCCCCUCUCUUAUCAUAUCUCAUGUUAUAUCUGACCAACCAAAUAUAGCUUGAGUGAAUUUGAAAAUUUUGUUUUGAUCUAAAGUUAGUUUUUCAAUUUAUACGAUGAAAUUAUCACAUAUUUUUUUGAAGUUCUUCAAAAAAUUCUUCAAGAGACUGUGACCCAUUUUAAGAGCCAUCCACAUAAUUUUUUUGGAUUUUUUUUUCUAUUUUUACUAUAAUAAGAAGCAAUUGUUCUUCAAGAAAAGUACAUUCCUCAUGUCACUUUAAUACUAAAGAUAAUUUGAUUUUUCACACAUUUGAUAAGUUAUUUUACUAUUGUUAUUAAAACUAUUUGAAUGUUAUUGAUGAUGUUUUUCUUUUGGUUGAAUUGUUAUUGCUUUGAAGAUUAUGAUUACCAUUAUACUGCUCUGAGGAUUAUGAUUACCAUUAUAGUGCCUAGCAAGUAUGAAUUCUCUUUCCCUCGAAUUGACACUUCUUUUGCCCCCUCGAUCAUUUUUUCGACUAUGACAUUGAUGUUCAAAGAAAACUUGAGCAUGAUCUAAAAAUGUAGUGAAUGUUUGUUCAUGUCCAUAAAGAAUUAAUAUUAGUUUAUUGAUGGAAUUAUAGGGUUAUAUAUAUAUAUCCAUUAUCGAAUAAUUCCUUUUUUGUGAGUUUCAAAUGGAAUCAACAUAAUUUACAAUUUAUGCAUUUUCAUGGUUUACAAUAUUAAUUAAAAUAAUUUUUUUUUUAUUUUUGAAUAAACUAUUUGGCCAAUCAAUUCACCCUUCUUAUUUUACCAUGAAUCUAGUUAUAUAUUAUUAUAAUUUUAAAACUUAUAAUUAUUAUUUAUUGGAAGUCAAGAAGAAUGAGUGAUUAAGAGUGCAUUAGAUAACGAUUUUAAUAAAUGUUUCUAGUAUUUUCAACAUUGAAAUUUUUGAUUUUUAAGUAUUAAAAAUAUCAAAAGCGUUACUUAAAAUUACCACCAAACUCACUUUUAAGCUCUUUCCCAGAUAUCUCAAAUCAAUCAAAAACAUACUUGGUUUUUUUAUCGUACUGAAUUGAAUUGAACUUAAACCAAUUUAAUGGAUUAUUGUGUUCAUGAACCAAACCGAAUCAAUCGGUUGUGUCUUUAAAUUUUAUCAGUUCAAUUCAAACUAACCUCAACUAGAUUUUAAUCAAAACUGAACCCAGCCAUACAUACCCAUAAUUAAAAUAUAACCAAAAAUCCAUCCAAAAAAAAUCAACAAAUAAUGCUCUUUUCUUUUCUACGUGGACGAAAAAUUAGUUGAUAAUGGAUUCAAUCAGAGAACUACAUAGAAAUGGGGAACUCUUGGCACAAAAAUAGACUAAACUCAAUGCUCAAGUUGAGCACUUACAAUGGGGUAAACUCUCAUCUUAGCUCACACCCUGCAACCAUGUCACCCUCUUGUGACAAUCCGGGGUCUGCUGGUUUCAAAGAGGUCGGGUGUGGCGGCCUGAUGCCCGGCCACAGAGAAGAGCAUUCUUUGGGAUUGGUAAUUCAUCUCUCCAUGAAUUUGCUGGGGAGAAAACCCUAAGAUAGAACUGCUGUCCCAGGUACUGCCUAGCCCAGUUUUCAGACCUUACAUUCCACAUACCUACAUUGUCCAGAGCCAUGUAGAUUGCAGUCCAUGCCUUGGGAUAAACCUGGCCCCAAUCAAAGACAUCAAUGAAGUACUGCUCUACACUAAAAUGGAGUU
RNAcentral lists this long non-coding RNA (25285 nucleotides) under Vitis vinifera (wine grape). Its description in RNAcentral is "long non-coding RNA (VVIN_LNC003091)". The record is from RNAcentral. Lineage: Eukaryota; Viridiplantae; Streptophyta; Magnoliopsida; Vitales; Vitaceae.